This is a long non-coding RNA of Gossypium arboreum, 1479 nucleotides long. RefSeq lists it as uncharacterized. Lineage: Eukaryota; Viridiplantae; Streptophyta; Magnoliopsida; Malvales; Malvaceae. The record is from RefSeq and is a predicted model, not a curated record. The transcript has 2 exons.
GUACGGAGCGUGAGGGAAUAGUUCUCCAAUUAGGCGUUGAAUGAGAGUGGCUCUCUCCCUUAUAUAAAUACGUGCUGCCAACCCCAUCUUCUUUCCUUCCUUAUCAUGUGAGAGCUUUGAGGUAUCUAUAUCACGGUCUCUAGAGACGUAUUGACCAGUGGUGGUAGCUUUACCCAGCUCUUCUUUGGACGUUACAAACCGAGUAUGGGAGAAUCUGUAAAGCUCAGGAGGGAUAGCGCCUAAGCUAUUUCUUUCUUUCUUUUUUGCAGAAAUAUCAUCUGCGGCGCUAUCUAUCCUGAGUUUCAUGGGUUCUUCCUGCUAUAUGUAAAUAUCUGGUGUAGUACCUUCAAGAAUGAUCAAAGUUGGUAUGUAUGUCUGUAUGUAUGAUGUGACUAUGUGAGUGAUCUUUGGAGGUAUCUCAUCUGCAAAGUCCAAAGCAGAUAAUUACUUUUUUUGUUCAGAUUUAUCCUCGUUUCUCUAAGAAAUUGUUGUGAGAGAUGAUGGAUUUUUGCUUUAUUCAAAAGGCUGCCUCUUGUUUUCUUUUUAACAGCAUCUGGAGGGUUUGUACCAUACUGCUAUGUCUUGUUUCUAGUUACAUCAUCAAGUCUUUAUAAAAAGGACAAAAAUCAUCUCAAACCAAACCCAACCCAUAAGAGUUUUUGGGACAUGAAUAUCCGAAUAUGCAUUAUAUCAAGAUGUAUAUGUUUUAGAAAAAUAAUUACUAUUGGUAUAUAUCUAGAUAUUUACAAAGCAGCAAUCAUGCAUGCAUGUCUGUUAAAUAAAUAAUCAUGGGCAGAUAAUUAGUAAAAGUGUGUCGUUGUCCAGUCUUCAUCUUCGUCCUCGUCCUUACCCUAUCCACUUAUUGCUUUGAUUAUUUAUAUUUGCCAUUAACCAAGUUUUUUCAUGGACAACAGACAGGAGCAGUGAUUGAGCUGGGGUUUUCUUACCAAUAUUCAAACCAAAACUGUGUUUUGUGACAGAUGUUGGUGGCUAGGGUUUUACAUUUGAGUUAAAUGGCUUACAGGCUUUUAGUUUCAGUGGACGUUGACUCCUUUCACACUUCGUCCACACCACGGACUCGUCGCUUUCUUUACUGUUUCAAAACAUCAAAUCUCUCUCUAACUAAAGCAAAUGUGAUGCAAUUAAUAAUUAUAAAUUGCAGUUGUCAUGCAAAUGCAUAUAAUAUAAAUAAUCAGUAAUUUUCUUUUAUAUUAUUUUAUAUGGUGUGUAUUAUAUAUGAUGGUGAGGUUCCAUUUUUUUAUGAAUUUAAUUAAUUAAUGUACAUAUCCGGUUUCUUUUGAGAUUUAAUAGUUAGCCAAGUGGAGGGUUGGGCUGAAUUCUAUUUUGAGUUGAGUGCCAUUGUUAGGCAAUUUGAUCCCAGUUAGGGAUACUGGGUGCAACUGUAUUGAAUCAACCAACGGGAUCAUCUUUAUACUCUUUCUCCAGUAAAAGCAUUGCCAAGACAUUUUAUUUUAAAAA